UUGGUUAUAGUUUAAUGGUAGAACGAUAGGUUGUGGCUCUAUUAAUGUAGGUUCGAUUCCUACUAACCACC
This 71-nucleotide transfer RNA is filed under the name Hyaloperonospora arabidopsidis Emoy2. Its description in RNAcentral is "Hyaloperonospora arabidopsidis tRNA-His for anticodon GUG". It matches the Rfam family "tRNA". Rfam says of the family: Transfer RNA (tRNA) molecules are approximately 80 nucleotides in length. Their secondary structure includes four short double-helical elements and three loops (D, anti-codon, and T loops). Further hydrogen bonds mediate the characteristic L-shaped molecular structure. tRNAs have two regions of fundamental functional importance: the anti-codon, which is responsible for specific mRNA codon recognition, and the 3' end, to which the tRNAs corresponding amino acid is attached (by aminoacyl-tRNA synthetases). tRNAs cope with the degeneracy of the genetic code in two manners: having more than one tRNA (with a specific anti-codon) for a particular amino acid; and 'wobble' base-pairing, i.e. permitting non-standard base-pairing at the 3rd anti-codon position. Lineage: Eukaryota; Oomycota; Peronosporomycetes; Peronosporales; Peronosporaceae. The record is from Rfam by way of RNAcentral.